This 84-nucleotide transfer RNA is filed under the name Verrucomicrobiota bacterium. RNAcentral's name for it is "tRNA-Leu". It matches the Rfam family "tRNA". Rfam says of the family: Transfer RNA (tRNA) molecules are approximately 80 nucleotides in length. Their secondary structure includes four short double-helical elements and three loops (D, anti-codon, and T loops). Further hydrogen bonds mediate the characteristic L-shaped molecular structure. tRNAs have two regions of fundamental functional importance: the anti-codon, which is responsible for specific mRNA codon recognition, and the 3' end, to which the tRNAs corresponding amino acid is attached (by aminoacyl-tRNA synthetases). tRNAs cope with the degeneracy of the genetic code in two manners: having more than one tRNA (with a specific anti-codon) for a particular amino acid; and 'wobble' base-pairing, i.e. permitting non-standard base-pairing at the 3rd anti-codon position. Lineage: Bacteria; Pseudomonadati; Verrucomicrobiota. The record is from RNAcentral. RNAcentral also lists the same sequence under 1 other name.
GCCGAUGUGGCGGAAUUGGUAGACGCGGUAGACUCAAAAUCUACUUCUAGCAAUAGAGUGCUGGUUCGAGUCCAGUCAUCGGCA